UACGGAGGGUGCAAGCGUUAUCCGGAAUCACUGGGUUUAAAGGGUGCGUAGGCGGCACAAUAAGUCAGAAGUGAAAGGCUGUAGCUUAACUAUGGAAUUGCCUUUGAUACUGUAGUGCUUGAAUCAGGCUGAGGUCGGCGGAAUGUGACAUGUAGCGGUGAAAUGCUUAGAUAUGUCAUAGAACACCAAUUGCGAAGGCAGCUGACUAGACCUUGAUUGACGCUGAGGCACGAAAGCGUGGGGAGCGAACAGGAUUAGAUACCCGUGUAGUCC
This 273-nucleotide ribosomal RNA is filed under the name uncultured bacterium. RNAcentral's name for it is "partial 16S ribosomal RNA". It matches the Rfam family "Bacterial small subunit ribosomal RNA", at positions 524 to 796 of the family's 1533-position model. The record is from RNAcentral.